This 28-nucleotide non-coding RNA is filed under the name Mus musculus (house mouse). The record is from RNAcentral. Lineage: Eukaryota; Metazoa; Chordata; Mammalia; Rodentia; Muridae.
UAAUGUGUACUGUCAUUCUAAUGUGAAA